RNAcentral lists this long non-coding RNA (452 nucleotides) under Struthio camelus australis. RNAcentral describes it as "lncRNA (ENSSCUG00000002472.1)". Lineage: Eukaryota; Metazoa; Chordata; Aves; Struthioniformes; Struthionidae. The record is from RNAcentral.
AGUUGAUAAAGGGCUCAUUGGCAUAGACAAAAGACAGUGCACCCUAUCCCAGCCAUACAGAUCUCUUGGCUCUCACUCAGGAAGAAAAAAAGUCGAAAGGAUUUUGUGUAAGUAUGAAGAGUGAAUUUUUAUGCUGUGAUUUCUCUUCUACUUUUUAAGUGUAGCUACAACUUAUGAAAUGUUUCUUCUUUUCCAUUGCAGGAGCUAAAUAAACUCUGCUCCAUAAAAUUUUAAAAAUUCUUGAAAUGUGGCAUUCCAGACUUCCCUCACAGCAAUCAAAAGACCAUGAAGAUAUCGAGGACCAAGAUUCCAACAGCAGCUACAAGUGCUAGAAUAUACAAUGAAACUCUAGCUUCAGUCAGACAGAUGCAGCAAUAACAUUCUUUGCCUCUAACUAACAAAAUCCGUGGCCCUGCAUAUGCGAAGCUAUGUCUGUGCUGCAGACAAGUAAG